GGCGUCCGUGACUAUCUGCAGUCGAGCGAACGAAGGGAGCUUGCUCCCGGAUGUUGCGGCCGACGGGUGAGCAACACGUGGGUAACCUGCCUGCAAGACUGGGAUAACUCCGGGAAACCGGAGCUAAUACCGGAUAGUUCCUUGAACCGCAUGGUUCAAGGAUGAAAGACGGUUUCAGCUGUCACUUACAGAUGGACCCGCGGCGCAUUAGCUAGUUGGUGGGGUAAUGGCUCACCAAGGCGACGAUGCGUAGCCGACCUGAGAGGGUGAUCGGCCACACUGGGACUGAGACACGGCCCAGACUCCUACGGGAGGCAGCAGUAGGGAAUCUUCCGCAAUGGACGAAAGUCUGACGGAGCAACGCCGCGUGAGUGAUGAAGGUUUUCGGAUCGUAAAGCUCUGUUGUUAGGGAAGAACAAGUGCGAGAGUAACUGCUCGCACCUUGACGGUACCUAACCAGAAAGCCACGGCUAACUACGUGCCAGCAGCCGCGGUAAUACGUAGGUGGCAAGCGUUGUCCGGAAUUAUUGGGCGUAAAGGGCUCGCACGCGGUUUCUUAAGUCUGAUGUGAAAGCCCCCGGCUCCACCCGGGAGGGUCAUUGGAAACUGGGAAAACUUGAGUGCCGAAGAGGAGAGUGGAAAUCCACGCGUAGCGGUGAAAUGCCUAGAGAUGUGGAGGAACACCACUGGCGAAGGCCACUCUCCGGUCUGUAACUGACCCUGACGAACGAAAACCCGGGGGAGCGAACAGGAUUAGAUACCCUGGCAAUCCCCCCCCCUAAACGAAUAAUGGCUAAGCGUUAAGGGGGUUUCCGC
RNAcentral lists this ribosomal RNA (816 nucleotides) under Bacillus pumilus. Its description in RNAcentral is "bacterial SSU rRNA". It matches the Rfam family "Bacterial small subunit ribosomal RNA", at positions 41 to 838 of the family's 1533-position model. The record is from RNAcentral. Lineage: Bacteria; Bacillati; Bacillota; Bacilli; Caryophanales; Bacillaceae.